GAUGAACGCUGGCGGCGUGCCUAAUACAUGCAAGUCGAGCGAACAGACGAGGAGCUUGCUCCUCUGACGUUAGCGGCGGACAGGUGAGUAACACGUGGAUAACCUACCUAUAAGACUGGGAUAACUUCGGGAAACCGGAGCUAAUACCGGAUAAUAUAUUGAACCGCAUGGUUCAAUAGUGAAAGACGGUUUUGCUGUCACUUAUAGAUGGAUCCGCGCCGCAUUAGCUAGUUGGUAAGGUAACGGCUUACCAAGGCGACGAUGCGUAGCCGACCUGAGAGGGUGAUCGGCCAAACUGGAACUGAGACACGGUCCAGACUCCUACGGGAGGCAGCAGUAGGGAAUCUUCCGCAAUGGGCGAAAGCCUGACGGAGCAACGCCGCGUGAGUGAUGAAGGUCUUCGGAUCGUAAAACUCUGUUAUUAGGGAAGAACAAAUGUGUAAGUAACUAUGCACGUCUUGACGGUACCUAAUCAGAAAGCCACGGCUAACUACGUG
RNAcentral lists this ribosomal RNA (497 nucleotides) under uncultured bacterium. Its description in RNAcentral is "partial 16S ribosomal RNA". It matches the Rfam family "Bacterial small subunit ribosomal RNA", at positions 28 to 507 of the family's 1533-position model. The record is from RNAcentral.